AUUGAACGCUGGCGGCAGGCCUAACACAUGCAAGUCGAGCGGAUGAAGGGAGCUUGCUCCUGGAUUCAGCGGCGGACGGGUGAGUAAUGCCUAGGAAUCUGCCUGGUAGUGGGGGAUAACGUCCGGAAACGGGCGCUAAUACCGCAUACGUCCUGAGGGAGAAAGUGGGGGAUCUUCGGUCCUUACGCUAUCAGAUGAGCCUAGGUCGGAUUAGCUAGUUGGUGGGGUAAAGGCCUACCAAGGCGACGAUCCGUAACUGGUCUGAGAGGAUGAUCAGUCAAACUGGAACUGAGACACGGUCCAGACUCCUACGGGAGGCAGCAGUGGGGAAUAUUGGACAAUGGGCGAAAGCCUGAUCCAGCCAUGCCGCGUGUGUGAAGAAGGUCUUCGGAUUGUAAAGCACUUUAAGUUGGGAGGAAGGGCAGUAAGUUAAUACCUUGCUGUUUUGACGUUACCAACAGAAUAAGCACCGGCUAACUUCGUG
RNAcentral lists this ribosomal RNA (484 nucleotides) under uncultured bacterium. RNAcentral's name for it is "partial 16S ribosomal RNA". It matches the Rfam family "Bacterial small subunit ribosomal RNA", at positions 30 to 507 of the family's 1533-position model. The record is from RNAcentral.